AUUGAACGCUGGCGGAAUGCUUUACACAUGCAAGUCGAACGGCAGCACGGGGGCAACCCUGGUGGCGAGUGGCGAACGGGUGAGUAAUACAUCGGAACGUGCCCAGUCGUGGGGGAUAACUACGCGAAAGCGUAGCUAAUACCGCAUACGAUCUACGGAUGAAAGCGGGGGAUCGCAAGACCUCGCGCGAUUGGAGCGGCCGAUGGCAGAUUAGGUAGUUGGUGGGGUAAAGGCNCACCAAGCCGUCGAUCUGUAGCUGGUCUGAGAGGACGACCAGCCACACUGGGACUGAGACACGGCCCAGACUCCUACGGGAGGCAGCAGUAGGGAAUCUUGCGCAAUGGGCGAAAGCCCCGACGCAGCCAUGCCGCGUGAAUGAUGAAGGUCUAGGAUUGUAAAAUUCUUUCACC
This 410-nucleotide ribosomal RNA is filed under the name uncultured bacterium. RNAcentral's name for it is "bacterial SSU rRNA". It matches the Rfam family "Bacterial small subunit ribosomal RNA", at positions 30 to 440 of the family's 1533-position model. The record is from RNAcentral.